AGGAACAAAAUUGACACCAUUGAAAAUUGUAAUCCUUAUUUCUUAUGUGCUAUACAAAUAGUUGAAGGUUAAUUACCAGUAUAACUAUAAAUAGUAAUGUUGCCAGUCUCCUUCAGACAAAA
Small nucleolar RNA from Otolemur garnettii (small-eared galago), 122 nucleotides. The record is from Ensembl. Lineage: Eukaryota; Metazoa; Chordata; Mammalia; Primates; Galagidae.